UUGCACUCCUUUUGAUGGCAUAUACAUUAAAAUUGAAGCCAUACAGAAGCUUAGCAUGGCUUCUGGACAAAGAUGACAAACAAAUAAGUGAGGCAAUCCACAUAUUU
Small nuclear RNA from Mustela putorius furo (domestic ferret), 107 nucleotides. Lineage: Eukaryota; Metazoa; Chordata; Mammalia; Carnivora; Mustelidae. The record is from Ensembl.